This 1354-nucleotide long non-coding RNA is filed under the name Parus major (Great Tit). RNAcentral's name for it is "lncRNA (ENSPMJG00000011484.1)". The record is from RNAcentral. Lineage: Eukaryota; Metazoa; Chordata; Aves; Passeriformes; Paridae.
GUUUAUAUUAAACCUUUUAAAAAUUAUUAGGCAAGUAAACCUCAUUUUUCACAAGGGAAUUUAGAAAUAUUUGCAAUUCAGGCAAACCAGGUGAAUGAAAUAUCUACUGCUAUGAAAUGCCAAAAUGAAAUACUUACAGACAGGCUUUUCUCUUUGUCAGGCUGUUCACCUAUCUUUGCCAGGUUCUCAGCACGUGAACUCCAGUGGAAGGAAAACCCUUCGGGGUCUGCCUCGUGCACCCUUUUUCAGAGCUCAGCCACAGUAUGUGUAUCCAAAAUGGAGGUGAAACUCAUCUGGAGACAAGUUGGACUCACAGCUUGUCACAUGUUACAGCGUGGCAGAUCUGUUCCUUAAGUUCCAUGGUAAUCUGCAGCAGAGAUGAAACCAAGAAGUGACUCUGCAAACACAAAAUUAAAUUCUCCACUCCUACAUGUCUUCAAAUGACAUUAGUCCCUUGGGGUUUUUUUCCCCAGAGGAUUCCUUCCUGUGCAUCAUCACAGCAUCAUGGUCACUAUGGGCAACACAGAGCUAAGCCAGCUCUCUGGAUUCCCCAGUCUUCCCCAGGAAAACAGAUACUUUCCAAGGGCAAUUCAACCUUCACUUUUGGCUAGAUGAGAGGAAUCACAACCAAAGAGUCUAGAAAGAGACACACCUGGCUCGCAGUCCCACCAAGUUAGCUGGGAAAAGACAGGCUAAACAGGGAGAAAAGUUGUCCACACAGUCUACAGAUACUGUAAAAUAUUUGGUUAGAGGUGCAUUAUUUGUGCAAGUAAGAUGGGCUGCAAGAAAUCCCACCAAUCCAUGGUUUUGGCAUAGAGGGAGGCUAGAACCAUGGUUAGCUUUACUUGGUUCUGCAUUUGAAACAUCUUUUUUCCUCUCUGGUGCUUUUCUUCUCUCAGUGAUAUUUUAUGAAAAACCUGGUAAGCCUGAAGUCUCAGCAGUGUUAGAAUGCAGGGCAGGGACAAACAAAAUAUCUAGUAAAAUCUGUCAGAUCUUGAGUCCCAAGAGCAGAAUGGUAGUACAAAACUCAAAUAUAGGUUUUCAACCAAAGUGAAAUUUUGUUAAAAUCUGACAGCAAAUUUCAGGUUUGCUUGUGGGAAGGGAUGAAAAGGGCAGAAAACAAUGUAGGACCACAAGCUCUAUUCUCCUAGGCAAUCAUGCAAGUAUGAUUCAAAUGCUUCACUAACUAAUUUGUAUGGGGAAAAAAAUAGCAAGGAAAAAAAAAAAGCUCUUGUCUCAAGAAUUCUCUGUAAAACACACCAACCAAGACGACUGAUGCAUCACAAGAUGGAGAAGACAAUGUUCAGAGAACUAGGAAAUGUGUAGGAAUAGGAAUUAGCAGGAAAUUUGCAUA